GAUGAACGCUGGCGGCGUGCCUAAUACAUGCAAGUCGAGCGAACGGACGAGAAGCUUGCUUCUCUGAUGUUAGCGGCGGACGGGUGAGUAACACGUGGAUAACCUACCUAUAAGACUGGGAUAACUUCGGGAAACCGGAGCUAAUACCGGAUAAUAUUUUGAACCGCAUGGUUCAAAAGUGAAAGACGGUCUUGCUGUCACUUAUAGAUGGAUCCGCGCUGCAUUAGCUAGUUGGUAAGGUAACGGCUUACCAAGGCAACGAUGCAUAGCCGACCUGAGAGGGUGAUCGGCCACACUGGAACUGAGACACGGUCCAGACUCCUACGGGAGGCAGCAGUAGGGAAUCUUCCGCAAUGGGCGAAAGCCUGACGGAGCAACGCCGCGUGAGUAAUGAAGGUCCUCGGAUCGUAAAACUCUGUUAUUAGGGAAGAACAUAUGUGUAAGUAACUGUGCACAUCUUGACGGUACCUAAUCAGAAAGCCACGGCUAACUACGUG
RNAcentral lists this ribosomal RNA (497 nucleotides) under uncultured bacterium. RNAcentral's name for it is "partial 16S ribosomal RNA". It matches the Rfam family "Bacterial small subunit ribosomal RNA", at positions 28 to 507 of the family's 1533-position model. The record is from RNAcentral.